UCCGUCAUUAUGAUCUAGUCUGGUACAUCCAGGAGGCUUCAAACGCGCACUGGAGUGGCCUGAGUCUAAUUUAGCGCUCAUUUAGGCCGCAGGUACCACACAAGGUAAACACGGUAUUGUUAUAAUUAAUUACCCCUUAGGCCUCGCCAGGCCAUCUCUGUUUCAGCUGACCCUUAUAAUAAUAAGGCUGCCGGGCAUAUUGUAUUUCUUUUGACAGAUUAAUUAGAAAUUCAGCCGUGGAGGUACAAAGCAACCCGGUCAUGAAUAUUUAAAUGGCCUGACACAAAAAAUCAUGAAAGAAUUGCUGAACUACAUGACGGACAGGGGAUAUUAGGGAAGUGACUCUAAUCAAUAAUCUCUUGAUCUCUUACAUAUUAAUACACUGCCUGCUGUUAUUAAGCUCCGUAAUAAGGAAGGGGAGAGAAAGUUAGUGUAGCUGUGCUGUAGGCCUCGGCGAGGCCCCCAGUGGUUAUGCUAACUGACUGAGAAAAUGCACAGAGGAGCCAGGCCUCAGCCUCUUCAAUCUAAUCCAAUCUUAAGAAAUGGCAGCGCUGAGGAGCGCAGACUGGAUAAUUAUUGGCGCUGACAAGGUGAGGGCGUUUGCAGGCAAAUGAGCUCGGAAGCAGCCCCAGUGCCCAGACCACCCAGAGCAGGGCACAGAAACACCAGCCUGCGCUGCUGUUCGCCUUGUCGGGGCGGGGAGCUGAGGGCCACUGGGGACAUUGGCCCUGCCGAGGCCUAGGCCAGGAGCAGUGGCCGCUGAGGCCUGCGGGGCGCCUGCCUGUUGUCGGGGCGACUCUGACACCAAGUCCAGGAGAUUUACUUGGGGUCCCUGUGCGCAGCGUUGGCAUCGCCAAGGCCACCGAGUGAAUUAAGCAGCAGAGGCUGAAUAUCAUCUAAAUUCAUUAGCGGACAAACCGCUGCUUCCCUCCAGCCCUGAGCAAGGCACUGGCUGUGCGUGCUCCAGGCCCUGUGUGGGCCUUACACUGCUGCGGCCCCCGAGGGUCCAUGAACACCCCAGCAGCAGCCUACGAGACCCUGUAGAGUCAGUCUGGGUGGGGGUAGGGUAAAAGCAGGCUGCCCUAGGAGGAGGGCACCACGGCCUCUAGCUCAGCCUUUGGCAAGCAGGACCGUAGUGAACAGGACAACCUGGAUUUGACAGCGGUAGGAUGUGUUGAGGUCCUGCGUGUACAGGGAAGCAGAGCGUGGUCAGGGACAGCCUAAUAGGCUGCUUGACUAUGGGAAAACAAGAAGCUACUGGGAACACCAGAGUGAGGGCUCUCUGGAUUCCCUUAGCUGAGCUGCAACAGCCUGGACUGAACUGGGGAUAGUGGCAGGGAGGAGCAGUCCCCACCUGAGGCUCCGGGGCCGGCUAGCUCCAUCGUAGAGUUUUCUAGAAACUCCUCUUUACACUGUAUGAGCCAGGCUGUGGGAAUCCCCCGGUUGCUCUUACCUAAUGCCUCUGCUUCUUCUGUUCUGUCAGAACAGACUGGGAGGAGGGGAUAGUGUUCAUCAACUACGCCCACAAGAAUGCCAGAGCCCGGGUGCUGAUCAAGCAGCAUCUUUUCAUUUGCCAUGAGGUAUCCCGAGCUGGACUAGUGUCUAGGAACUCUACAAGCCAAGCCCUGGGAUCCUCCUGGGACUCCACUUGAUUUGGGGUCCUUUUGCAAUCAGUGGACUGUGAGAACGGAAACCAUGCCAGAACCCGAACAGCAGCCAGGAGGCCAGGGGGAAAAAAAUCCCGUUGUCUGUUCGUAGUCCUUUAUAAAAAGAAGACUUGACGGGAACUGGGCAAGACACCUCCAGGUGAUACAGAUUCAUUCAGCUGUGAGCGGAUUGCCUGGGGGCCCAGGCCUGUCAUCCCAACGAUUCUGGAGACUGAGAUAGGAGAAUUGUGCAGUCCAAGGCCAGCCUUGGCUACAGAGUGAAUUCAAGGGCAGCCUGAAGCAUUUAGUGAGAACCUGCCUGAAACUAAAGGCACAACGAGUAGCCAGAGUGACCCGCUCUUGACAUUCACGAGUGAGAGUAAGCGGUAAGAAAACUAGAGAACUGAAGCUCGUCUGCGCAUGGACCACCCAGGGACUCCUACGGUGAUGGAUGCUUCAACUCGCAGCUCAAGGUUUGCAUUAUGACAAGCUUGUAAGUCUGCUUUUAUUUAAUACAGUGUGUUUGUGUGUUCACAAGUUCAUAGGUGUGUGCAUGUGUGUAUAUGCACAAAAGUGUGGAGGCCAGAGGGUAGCUCUAGCUUUCCUUCCCUAGAUGCCAUCUACGUUUUAAAGAAAAUAAUUUAAUUUAAUUAGGUUUUAAUAUUUUUUGGUAAGAUUUCUCAUCUGCCUGGAUCUUAGUGAUGAAUAGGUUAGGUCUGCUAGCCAGCUAACCCCAGGGAUCCACUGUCUCCUCAUCCCCGGCACCAGACUAUAAGCAUCCGGGUAUCUUUAUAUAGGUCCUGAGGAUCAAAACCAUAUCCUCAUGCUUUAAAAAAGAGAAUUUACCAAAUAAGCCACAUCCCUAGCCCUUAGUGGUUUCAAAGGCUGAUAAAUGUUUCUUUCACCAGACAGACCACACUCCUAGUUCUCUGUGAAAACUCAGGUGAGAUCAGUCUCAUGAAGGGUAGAUUUGUACAAAAACCCACUCUGCCCUUAGAAUCAUUCUGGUUAUGUCUCUUCAGACUGUGACUUAUAUUGCACAAGUAUUUUCAGAUUCUGGGAGCUUCCUGUCAAGGUGUACCCUGAAGGUCAUGGUGACAUACAUUUUUCCAUCAUCCUUUGAAAAGGCUAGCUGCAUCCUUCACCCAUAAGGAUUUUAUUAACAUCACAGGUAGAAAAUCGUUUCUCAAAAUUUGUUCACAUUUACAUGUUUUUAUAUUUAGUUGAUAGUGAGCGUUUAUUUUCUUCUACUUAUCAGUUAUAUGUGUUUUCCUUUUAGUGAAUUAUUUAUGGCUUUCACCCAUUUAUUAAGUGUAACAUUAAAAAAUUCUUCCUGAUUCAUGAUCACUUUUUGUAUAUUAGGUUAAUAUUUGGUCAUAUUUACCAUAAUUAUUUUCACCCCAUUUGUUUGUUGUUUGACAUUUUCAGUGUGUGUGUGUGUGUGUGUGUGUGUGUGUGUGUGUGUGUGUGAGAUAGAGAGAAAGACAUAGAGACACAGAGACAGACACAGAGACAAAGACGGGAAGUUGAACAAUGUGGGUGUGGAAGCAUGUGGAACAUGAGGGGUGACCUCCCUCGUCGGCCUUCACCUUCUAUCUUGUUUGAUAUCAGCUCUGUCUGUUGUUCACACUCAGAGCGAGCUAUGCUGGUUGGCCUGUGAGCUUUCUCACCUUCUCUGGUUCUCUUGUUUCUACCACCCAUUUCUGGGACUACAGAGGCACCUACUGCAAUCAGAAGUGCCUGGGAUCAGACUCUGGUUCUCACACUUGGAUGUGGUAAAUGAUUUACACACGGAGCCAUCUCCCCAGCCCUCUUGUUUGACUUCUAAAUGUUUUAAAAAUACAUUUGGUUUUCAAACCAGGCCAGGGUAUUCAGCAUGUCUACCACAAGAAUACGACUCUGACAGAGAUGCUGGGAGCAGAGGCUACAGUGAGUGGGAUGCUGAGAUCAGGGCCUUGAGGACAUGAGAAGUCUGGCUGAGGGUCUGACUGGAUUCUCCUCCCACCCAUGGUGCCUCCAUGCAUACAGGAAGUAUGGUUUUCCAGUUGGAACUUGUGUGGAUUUCCCAGUUAGUCUUUUUUUUUUUCUUUUCUAACAUAAAUAAUUUGGCGUGGUUUCCACACAACCAUUUAUCAUUGCUUCUGGGUUAUUAACACUCAAACUCAGGGGCAUUUCUGUAUAUGCCAUGGCUUUGAGGCAACGACCGAAAAAUAAUUAAAAGGCUCCCACACCAUCGGUGGCCUGUGACUGCCCCCGGACACCAGAACUAUGACUGGCCAGGCUUGGGUGACCGCUGCCACUUUAAAGGCUAAAUUAUAUAUUUUUAUUAGUUGCCUGCUAUUUUGCUCCUCAUUCCUCUACAACUCUCAGAAGAAUACCAUCUGGACUCAGUAAUUUAUUACAAUUUAAUUUCUCAAUUUGUCUCAUCACCUCUUUUCUUGAUAUUUCUAUCAGCAAAGUCCUCUCACCCCAGUAACAGGAUGCUGGAGACUGGCAGCCUGGGAAGAGGGCCUGCUUCCCAGGAUGAAGCCACUGCUGGGCUACCUUCUAGGCUUUCCCUUGGAACACUGGCAUGCCCUGCUCAGCUGUAGUCCUGAGGACCCGAAUCUACGCAGCAGCCCUGGGAAGAAGAUGAGCAGGUUGAUCAGCAGUAGCUUUUCUCCCCCCAUGUAGAUCACAACAGUGUGUGGCUCUAACUUGCCCUUUCAUCGUCCUUUGUGCUCAGGUAAUACAUUUAAACACAAGUCUUAGAUCUGUGGCUAAAUAUGCAUGAAGCCAACACACCCCACGAAAAAAAUGACAAUUCCAAUCUCUCUUCGCGAAGCUUGCUUUCUCUGAUGCAACAGGAACAGAAUUCUCUUUAGGUUUUGGAUGGCAGCAUAGUCCUACAGCAUCUAGGGAAGAGGUGUCUGGGGCAGCAUUAAGACAAACCUAGCAUGCUGGGGCUCCUGACCAUAGCAUCCCAGUACCAUGGUCUUAGAGGGACACAAGGCCAGCCCUGUGACCAUCAGCACCUCUGAUUCCCACAUAUUCUUCCAAGGUCAGGUUGUGACAGUUGGGCAGAUGUGAAGACUGAAAGAAGAAAUAUCCCUGGUUCUCUCCAUUCUCUGUGCACCACACAGAAUACAGAUAUGACCCCUGCAUGUGAGAGGUAGCUCUUUCUCUGACGUAGUGCCACCCUCAGAGGGGAAUCCCUGUUACCUUCCAUUUCAGAGGUCAGACAAAAUGAUGAUGGGAGUUCCUGGGAAAAGGAAGUCACCCUUUCACCUGAAUGAAGGAUGUAUGUGUAUACUAUGUGUGUAAAUACUCACAUGCGCGUCUGUGCAGUGAAUGGUGUGUGUGUGUGUGUGUGUGUUGUGAAUAUAUGUAUAUAUGUGUGCAUGUGUGUAGUGUAUGAGUGUGGUGUUUGUGUUUGUGUGUGUUUGUGAAUGUGUGGUGUGUGAAUAUAUGUAUAUAUGUGUGCAUAUGUGUGGUGUGGUGUGUGUGUGUGUGUGUGUGUGUGUGUGUGUGUGUGUGUGUGUGUGUAUCGAGAACAGGAGACUCAAACUAGUUUUCUGAUUUUUCUUUCUUUCUAUUCU
This is a non-coding RNA of Rattus norvegicus (Norway rat), 5224 nucleotides long. Lineage: Eukaryota; Metazoa; Chordata; Mammalia; Rodentia; Muridae. The record is from RefSeq and is a predicted model, not a curated record.